Molecule: transfer RNA, 72 nt
Filed under: Candidatus Woesearchaeota archaeon
Lineage: Archaea; Nanobdellati; Candidatus Woesearchaeota
Description: tRNA-Gly
Rfam family: tRNA
About the family: Transfer RNA (tRNA) molecules are approximately 80 nucleotides in length. Their secondary structure includes four short double-helical elements and three loops (D, anti-codon, and T loops).
Source: RNAcentral
GCGGCAGUAGUCUAACGGCUAGGAUUUUACCCUCCCACGGUGAAGGUCCGGGUUCGAAUCCCGGCUGCCGCA